RNAcentral lists this ribosomal RNA (1230 nucleotides) under Triticum aestivum (bread wheat). RNAcentral describes it as "partial small subunit ribosomal RNA". The record is from RNAcentral. Lineage: Eukaryota; Viridiplantae; Streptophyta; Magnoliopsida; Poales; Poaceae.
AUGAUAUUCUUCGUUUUUGGUUUCCUUGAUCAGGUUGGCAUGUCCAAUGCCCUGGACACUCUAUGUGGCCAAGCAUUUGGCGCCAGGCAAUAUCACCUCCUUGGCAUAUACAAGCAACGCGCCAUGCUACUACUCACUGUCGUAAGCAUCCCCGUCGCCUUCAUGUGGUUCCACACCGGACAAAUCUUCCUCUUGUUCGGCCAAGACCCUGACAUCGCCAAGGAGGCAGGCACGUACGCCCGGUGGAUGAUCCCGGGUCUCUUCGCCUACGGACUGCUGCAGUGCCACGUCCGGUUCCUGCAGUCACAAAACGUCGUGCUCCCGGUAAUGGUGAGCGCCGGCGCGGCCGCUCUGUUUCAUCUGUUCGUCUGUUGGCUGCUCGUGCACGUUGCCGGGAUGGGCGGAAAGGGUGCGGCUCUUAGCAACGCCAUCUCCUACUGGUUCUACGUGAUCUUACUGGCCGUGUACGUGAGGGUGUCGAGCUCUUGCCAGCAGACGUGGACCGGGUUCUCGAUGGAAGCCUUCCACGGGGCGCAUGACUUUUUCAGGCUCGCCGUGCCGUCUGCUCUCAUGCUCUGCUUGGAAUGGUGGUCGUUCGAAAUUCUUGUGCUGCUUUCGGGUCUUCUUCCAAACCCCAAGCUGGAAACAUCCGUUCUGUCGAUCACACUCAACACAGCUAACUGCCUCUUCAUGAUCCCCUAUGGCCUUGGCGCUGCCACAAGCACCCGUGUCUCGAACGAGCUCGGGGCGGGGCGGCCACGUGCAGCCCGCCUCGCCGUGUGGGUGGUCAUGGUCUUGGCCAUCUCGGAAGGAACUGUCAUGGGGAUGGUCGUGGUCCUCCUGCGCUUCGUCUGGGGCCAUGCGUACAGCGACGAGGCGAAGGUUGUAAGAUACGUUGCCAGGAUGCUACUGGUUAUCUCGGUUGCCAACUUCUUCGACGGAAUUCAGUGUGUUCUAUCGGGUGUGGCAAGAGGCUGUGGGUGGCAGAAGAUCUGUGCCUGUAUCAACCUCGGCGCGUUCUACUUAGUUGGUGUACCGGCAGCCUACCUCGUAGCCUUCAUGCUGCGCGUCGGCGGGAUGGGCCUUUGGAUGGGAAUCAUCUGCGGUAUUCUGGUGCAGGUCUUGGCGCUCGUGACCAUCACGCUAUGCGCCGACUGGGGGGAAGAGGCAACCAAGGCGAAGAACAGAGUCUUUGUGUCUUCUCUUCCAAUGGAUCUCCUCACGACAUGA